This is a long non-coding RNA of Ctenopharyngodon idella (grass carp), 3661 nucleotides long. RefSeq lists it as uncharacterized. The record is from RefSeq and is a predicted model, not a curated record. The transcript has 3 exons. Lineage: Eukaryota; Metazoa; Chordata; Actinopteri; Cypriniformes; Xenocyprididae.
GAUUGAAAUGAUACCAGUGUAUUGAAGUGACAGUUGCAGCAUUAUGUGAUAUAAAUUAUAUUUACGAAAUAAAUGUAUAUAAAACAAACCCCUUCAGGCGGCAGCGUAAUCUGACAGGAAACAUGACUCAUAGUAAGAUAUGGCAUUAUUUCCUGACAAGAUAAAAUAUGUUAAACUGCAAGAGAACAUAAUAUGAGACCCGUCUCUUUAGUAUAUUUGUGUAUUGUAUUAUCUCACUAUCAUUCUUUUUUUCUUUUCUUUUUUUUGGCUUCCUCUCCCUCCCUACCUUGUGUCUGGACACCUGUCGGCCACCUCUCCUGCCCCGUUCCCAGCAGGCCUUGCUCUGACAGCUGACCCCGUCUGGUUGUGGAGUCGCAUGGCUGCUUCCGUCCUCUCUGAGACACAUGUCCUCUCGUCCUUCCCUGUCCCCCCACAAGGCAACGUGACCGUCUCUGUCCGCCUGACUUCCCCCAUGGGGUCUACCUACUGUCUCCCUUCCCUUCUUCUGUCUGCUUUCAUUGAUGACCCUGUUAAUCCUCUUUCUCUUUCUCUAUUUUUCUUCUCUUACUUUUGCCCUUUUUACAUAUCUCGCUUCCAGCAGUAAUGUUCUUACCUUCAUCUAAUGCCUUCUUUUGACAGUAUCUCAUGCAUGUACCUGUACAUAAUUAAAAAUCAGUUGCUGUUUUUCGUUAUGCUGCCCUAGGGAGUAACAAGGCUAAAUCUGAUGAGGCACAGUAAAAAGAGCAGCCACAUGGGGGCAUUGUAUCUUGGACUGUUUUGUGCUUUGCUGCUGUGGCUUCCUGUUUCCUGUUCCUGCUUUGCUUACCUGAUGGUUAGUUUGUGUAUAACCUUAGUUUUGAAUGGAUCCUUUAUGUAGUUUUGAAGUGAUGGGUUGUUGGAUGUCACUAUGCUCACCAGGCAGCCAUUUUGUGGCGGGAAGGAGAGCAGCCCGAAGCGCAGUGGGGUUCUUUAAUGCAGCGCGGCUGUAUGAGUUUCCAGGGAGAUAUCCGCCUUCCUCUGAGCUUACCCAACACUCACUGAUGUUUCAGGCAGAUGUGGGAUGAAGAUCCAAAGGCAGGGAGAUGCGUGACAGAAGGAGAAAUGUGAAGAAACAACCUGACUCUUUAGUUGGUAACUUUUUUUCCACAGAUCACCUCAAGGCAAGAUUUUUCCUUUCUUCCUUCUCUCCACUUCCCUCUCCACCUCUAAAUGUUAAGUGAGCCACCGGGAACAAGUGGGCAAGAAAGGAAGAGAAAUCUGACUUUUUGCUUUUUGUUUUGUGAACAGUGCAGGCAUGCAUGCUUCUCAGUUGGGUUAUGAUUCAUAUUUGUAGCUAAUUUAUUUCACAGAUUCAUAACUGAAAAUCUGAAGUUGGGGAUGAUGCCUUCAUAAGCAGCUACAUGGGAAGGAACAUCACUCUGAAUGGCUUUCAGUGUAGCAUCUGGGCAUUACAUAUGCAAACACUGCACAUCAUCAUAAAGUGCGUUCUCAGCAGCACGGUUAAUCUUUUAUUAUGCAGUGCCUUACGCAUUAGCUUUUUGGCAGUGAUUUAAAUUCAUUUACUCCUCUAGAAGCAAACAAAAAGAGUUUCUACUUGAGAAGGCAAAAAACCCUGUGAAUUAAUACACUUCCUGAACAAAUCCUAGUUAUGUUUAAGAAAUACAGCUGGGUGAAGUGGACUAAAAUCAGCAGGCAUUGUGCUGGGAUGAUAUACUUAAAGUGUCUUCUGUGUUUGGCAAACUCUGGAAAACUCUCAAAGUCUAGAUUGUGCAUUGAAAACUUAAAUGUUUUUCUAACUAAUUUUUCAUGGAGAGUUACUCAUGAAAAUGGUGAUGCCGAUAUUGUAGCAAAAUUGCCCAUUCUGUUCUGUUCUUGUUUCAAAAUUAUUCGUGCUGAACAAACAAAGCAAUGGUUAUGUUGUUUUUGCGAUGACGGGUCUUUAUAUCUUUGGCUGUAACUCAAGAUUUACAAAUCCACCUUGAGCGGUUAUUGAUUUUAAAGGCCUUUAAUGUUGCCUCCGAGACAGAAAGUGACAGCCAGCAGAGUAAAAUGGCUUGAGGAGAAAUGACCGCUGAUCGAAGGAAAAAGACCUCUGAUUGCCUCUUAGUCUUCCAAUCAGCCGGCUUGAACUCAUCGCUUCUCUGACAUGAGAGCAGGGCAGCACUGUACUUGCUUCUCCAUUAGAGCAAUUCCAGAGACUUCAGUAGACGAUCAGUUCACAAAAUUCCACUUUUUUAACUUUUCUUUUUUCACAGUUCACAUAUCUUUGCACACAGAGAUGUCCUGCACAUGGCCAAUUAUACCAUGCUGCAAAGACAUGGAUUUUUUUUUUUUUUUUUAAUAAAGGGGAUAUUGCAAUGGAAUGGUUGUCAAUAACGAGAACUUGAUUUAUUCUAUUGUAUUUAACGUGUUAGUGAACACAUUUUUUAUUUUAUUUUAGGUUUUAUCGCGCUGAUUUAGUCCACCUGUUCAACAACAACAACAACAACGUUAUUUAAAAAACUUUGACAUAUGGAAAUAUGUGGUUUAGAAGAUACAUCUAUAAUUUAAGGUCGAUUUCCAUUUUGCAGACUUUCCUCCCAAGAAGAAUAGUUUGAAUUUAAACGACUGUUUAAAAUUAUUUCACAUGCGUAUAAAGGAGUUAUACAGAUAGAUCCCUUUAUGUGGGCCAUUGUUUGGAUUGGAAUAUUAGGUCAGGUUUGAAAAUGGGAGACAGAUAUUUUGAAAGUGUUCAUGCCUGUUCUUUACUCAUGAAGGUUUUAGCAUGCAAAUCUGGUCCAUGUAAUAUGCCAUUCAAAAACAAAUAAUGGAUUUCGCCAAACUAAAACUCUUUAUUUACAAUAUAUUAUGCUAAAAAUAGGUUGAAGGAAGGAAUGGCUGCCCUAAAUUUGUUCAUAAUAAUAAGAAUAUGUACGGUAUCUAUACCAUUAGAGGCACCAAAUGGCAUUGUGCAAAUAAUGACUCCAGUGUCUCUAUACAGGCUUCCCUUACUUAUCGUUUAGCCAUUGUUCAACAAACAGGUAGCCCUGUCUCUAACAUUGAACAAAAUACAGUGCCUUUAACAAAACACCAUUUGGCAAACAUUGACCUGCUGUGCCUUGAUGUACUAAUGUACUGCUCUGAUCGUCUCACGUCUCUUUUUUUCUUUUUGAAGUUAUGUUCUGAGAAUCUAAAUUGACCACUUCCAGAUUCACAUAAGAGAACUGUUAGUAUCUCAUCAAAUGUCAGGUUGCUAGGCAACAUGUCAUUUGCUGUCAUACUCCACUUGCAUGUGAAUAGGGGAGAGAGCACAUGCAGAAAUCAUUGUCUUGAAGCUCAGGAACAUCAUGCUCUUCUAUAAUGCUCUCGUAUCAUAUCUAAUACUGAAUCACUGAGAAGGUACAGAGCUUUAAAAAGUUGACUUACCUUUGAACAAAUCAAAAGUAUAUUUCCAAGAGAAACAUGGCAAGAUGUUUAGCACAUAACAUAGCAUGAUGAAUAUGACAGCAAGUGAUUAUUUGACUCCAAAUGAUUGAACUGUAAAGAAUUUGUGUUGUUGUUGCCAAAUUAACCAUGACUUUUAUGUGAACGUGAAGACUUAACAUUUCAGAAAUUGACAAAAGUAUAAAUAUUCAACAUACAUCAACAUACAUAUUAUUAUUAUUAUUAUUGUUAUUUAAUU